This 1479-nucleotide long non-coding RNA is filed under the name Salvia miltiorrhiza (redroot sage). Its description in RNAcentral is "long non-coding RNA (SMIL_LNC002878)". The record is from RNAcentral. Lineage: Eukaryota; Viridiplantae; Streptophyta; Magnoliopsida; Lamiales; Lamiaceae.
AAUGGCUUAGGUCCCAUGAUCACACAUAACAACAUAGUCAUAAGAUGCACGUAAACAAGUAAUCAAACGCGAUAAUAAAAUAUAUAUAACCAUAUGAAUAAGCGUAAAAUCCCUCACCUUAGUAUCCAAGCUUAUAAAUUCAAUCAAAUCUGAAACGAGGAUCCUAGUUACACCGUACCUAAUUAAAUAGAUAAAAUGUUUCAAUAUGAAUCCUAACUAUAACUUAAAUUCGAAUUCUGUAAAUAAAUCUUAUAUAAUUAAAUAUAUAUACUUAAGCAUUAAAAAUAUAAACCUUUUGGAAUUAAACUAAAUUAUUUAGAAUUUAAAGAAAUUUAAUAAGUUUAUAAAAAAAAUACUCCUAUACUAACAAUUACCGUCAACUAUCUUAAUUAUAGAAAAACUGAUUUAACUUAAAUCAAUUAACUACAUAAAAAGAAAGAUUUUCGGAAUUCCAGAUUUGGUUAGCUCAAUAAAAAUAAAACGCCACUUUAUAAAUUCAUUAGAAUUUUGAAACUUAAACAAUGAUGUAACCAAAUAAGUCUUCGCAGACUACUACUUGAAAAAGAAAAAAAAAGUUUUAAACUCCAUCCAAAAAUAUUGUCUAAGCCAAAAAGGAUUAUAAUUUAAUUGAACAAAAGCAUUAAUAUACUAAAAAUGAUUAAAUCUGAAUUGACCUUUUACGAAAAGCUUUACAGAUGAAUGGGUAUCAAAGCUACAUGAAAAUCAAUUACUAAAAAAAAAUUAUUUUCAAAAGCUACUACCUAUGCGUAACAAUUAAAAGAGAAGAAAAAAAUGUGUACCGAUUAUGAUUGCUUGAUUCGGGUUCUGCGUAUAGGUUUUUUUUUGGAGUAAUAUUUGUGCUUCUAUUUAUACUAGUUACGUGGAGUUUUUGAUAAGUAUAAAAAUUAUAUUCUAUGUUUAUCUUCUAGGAUAAAGAAUAAAGAUGAUAAAAGAGUUCUAGUUCUAAUAGGAAUUGAAAUAAUAAUAAUAAUAAUAAUAAUAAUAAUAAUAAUAAUAAUAAUAAUAAUAAUAAUAAUAAUAAUAAUAAUAAAUAAUACUAAUAAUAAUAAUAAUAACUUAUAAAUUAAUAGUGCAUAUUAUAAUAAUAGUAUAAUAAUAAUAAUAAUAAUAAUAAUAUAGUAAUAAUAAUAAUAAUAAUAAUACUUAUAUAAUAAUUCUAAUAAUAAUAUAGUAGUAGUAGUAGUAGNAGAUCAAUGGCUUAGGUCCCAUGAUCACACAUAACGACAUAGUCAUAAGAUGCACGUAAACAAGUAAUCAAACGCGAUAAUAAAAAUAUAUAUAACCAUAUGAAUAAGCGUAAAAUCUCUCACCUUAAAUGCGAGACUUAUAAAUUCAAUUAAAUCCAGAAUGAGGAUCCUAAUUGCAUUGCACCUAACUAAAUAGAUAAAACGUUUCAAUAUGAAUCCUAACUAUAACUUAAACUAGAAUUCUGUAAAUAAAUCUUAUAUAAUUAAAUAU